AACAAUAAGAGAGAACAUAUAUAUUCUCCAAACAACAGUUUUAAUUUCAUUAAGACAACUCUAGAGGCCAGUUUAACAAACCUCAAUUGCCUAGUUACCUAAAAUGAAAUUUCUCUUACAAUUAAACCAUUUCAAGCUAAAACAAAGGCCUCUAGCAGAUUACUCCAGACCAAGCUAUUCUUGCGAGAGAUUGAUGGCCAAAACGAUCACUUUUUUAUGGAAGUUCCGAAACCACCAAAUCCCUUCAUAACUGCAAUAGCAAGGUCUAUUUCAGGUUCCUCUUAUGCAGCCUUCUCUUUCUGGGUAUCAAUACAAAUACCAAAGCAACCAUCAAAAAAUUUGUUAGAGAAAAUGAGAAAGAUAGAAAGUUAACCAAAUUAGGUAAAUUUACCAAAUCUAACAUCCAGAAGUAAGCUUCACAAUUCCAAACCUUCUUUCUCUUUCUUCUUUUCUCGGCGUAGGCAUUUUCUUUUUUUUCUCUUUCUGCUAUUAUUUCAACAAUCGCUUCUCAAAAUCUACAAAAAGAAUCUUGAGGGAUGAAAGAGAACUGAAAUAUUUGGGUUCAAUAUCCUUUCUCCUCCUCCUCCUCUUCAUUCUUCUUUUCUUCUUUCUUCUGCUACUGUUAGUGCUAUUAUGAAAUAUCAGUUCAUGGAAUAAUUGCAAUAAAUAUGUUUAUUAGAUUAUUUAAAAAUUAAUUAUAAAUAAUUAUGUAAGUUAGUAGACAAUAAUUUGUAAAUAUUUCCACGUAUAUAAGUUAGUAGAUAAUGAUAAUUUUGUUCUUUUCACGUUUAUUGUUUUCAAAAUUUAUGAUUUAGAUACCGUUAGCAAUCUGAUUAUUUAUCUAGUAUGCUAAAAAGAUUUUUCAAAAAUUUUAGCUUAUGUAAUGCUGAAGUUUUUACAAAUGAACUAAAUGAUUUUAGCAUCUUCUGCUGAAGCUAAAAAGCUUUAUGACAAAACUAAUGAAUCUAGGACUAAAAAACUAGAGCUUUUAGUGCUGAAGUUUUUACAAAUGAAUUAAAUAACUUCUGCUGAAAUUUUUAAAAAAGCUUAUCCAUGACAGAAAAACUUCAGCUUAUUUAGUACUGAAAUUUUAUAAAUGAACUAAAUAACUUCAUCAUCUUUUGCUAAAGUUUUUGAAAAAGCUUAAUGAAAAACUCAUGAAUCGAGGACAAAAAAAAUUUCAUCUUAUUUAGUGCAAUUACAAAUAAAAAAUUCAGCAAAUAGAGAACAAAACUUCAGCUAUUAUGCUUAAGUUCGACAAUUACAAACAAAAUUUUAGCACAUUUAGUACAACAUACUUGCUACUUCAUACCCUUUUACUAGAAUGUUGAAAUUUUAUGUAAUUACCUUUGCUACUUCACCCCGAGGCUGCUUAGUUACUUCAUAUAUAUCCCAAAAUAUUGUCAUAAAGUACUUCCAUAAAAUGUUCAAUUAUUUAUAUUUUAUUUGAGGAGAU
This 1456-nucleotide long non-coding RNA is filed under the name Nicotiana benthamiana. Its description in RNAcentral is "long non-coding RNA (NBEN_LNC023436)". Lineage: Eukaryota; Viridiplantae; Streptophyta; Magnoliopsida; Solanales; Solanaceae. The record is from RNAcentral.